RNAcentral lists this unclassified non-coding RNA (360 nucleotides) under soil metagenome. RNAcentral's name for it is "partial internal transcribed spacer 1". The stretch from base 1 to 121 matches the Rfam family "5.8S ribosomal RNA", at positions 35 to 154 of the family's 154-position model. The record is from RNAcentral.
GAUGAAGAACGCAGCGAAAUGCGAUAAGUAAUGCGAAUUGCAGAAUUUCCGUGAGUCAUCGAAUCUUUGAACGCAUAUUGCGCCCCGUGGUAUUCCGCGGGGCACGUCCGACCGAGCGCCGCUGCUACGCUCGGGAGGCUUCCUAGCGAAGCGCUCCCGGUGUUGGGGGAUGUUCUCGACCCUCGAGAGCACUCCCGAAAAUCAGCGGCGGCCCCCAAGGCUCCCAGACGAAGUCACUGCAACGGCGUCUAGGGUCGGCCGGCGGGGCCCGUCUCCUGCUAUUUUUGAGUCUAAUCAAAAAGUUGGCCUCGGGUCGGACGAGGUUACCCGCUGAACUUAAGCAUAUCAAUAAGCGGAGGA